This is a long non-coding RNA of Aethalodelphis obliquidens (Pacific white-sided dolphin), 2674 nucleotides long. RefSeq lists it as uncharacterized. NCBI's taxonomy places the organism in Eukaryota, Metazoa, Chordata, Mammalia, Artiodactyla, Delphinidae. The record is from RefSeq and is a predicted model, not a curated record. The transcript has 4 exons.
AAGUAAACAAAUAAACAAAUGUGGGGUUUAAAAAAAAAAAAGGAGUCCCCUAGGAAUGGCCGUCAGGGUGGCAGUAACAAAUCCCAAGGACAGGUAAAGGGUUGCGUAACUGGUUAGGGGCAGCAGCGUGACCACAUCAGUGACAGCCACAAAGCAGCAGAGCGGGGAUGGGGUUGGGCACGGGCACAGCGGCAGCAGCAUUCGGGAUGCUUCCAGAGGAUGCACGCCAUGCUGGAACCAGGUCAGAGCACAGGAGGUGGAGCAGGGCGCUGCAGGGUUGGGGUCCAGCGGGGACUGAUGGAGGCCGGCAACCACAGGACGUUCUUCUCCACGUGGUCUCGUUCCUGAUGCUGUGACCCGGGAAAUCAGAGUCACGAGCAUUGACAUCAAGGAAAUUGAAGUCAGUUACCCUGAGAAUCUCAUAUUAUUGUAGAAAAAUCUAAGCAUAGGGCUUUAUUAUUAAAAUCAAUCAAUUUUGGGACUUCCCUGGCAGUCCAGUGGUUAGGACUCUGCACUCCCACUGCAGGGGACGCGAGUUCAUCCCUGGUGGGGGAACUAAGAUCCCGCAUGUGGCCUGGGGCGGCCCAAACAAAACAAAACAGUCAAUUUUAGAAGCCAAAAUAUUUUCCCGCUUUUUUAUUUCAGGUAGAACGUUUGUCUGAAAACUAAGAUCUGCAGCCAUCUUGCUGGCAUUCAUACGUGAGAAAGGGUUUUUGCUGUCAGCUGAAACCCUCCGCAGCCCACCCACCACUAAUUCCUCUUCACUCUGGCACGCAGAGCUAAGUCUCCAGUGUGUGGCCCAGGAAUGCUUGACACCAUCUCAGAAUCCAAAGUGGACAUAUUUAUAGUGUGUCCCGACUUUGAAAGGAGUUAAGAGCAGAGAGCUGAAAAUAGUUGGUCUGGAUGGGAAAUGAAAAUCAAAUGUUCUCUUACUCUGAAGGGCGUGAUGAACGAAGAUUCAUAAUGUAAGACGCUAUGUAGCACUCUGAGAAAAGAUGAUGCCUACAUAUUUAGCUUAAUUUAAGGGAAGAUGGCCAUGAACCCAGCACUGGAGAUACAGCAGUGAACAAAACAGCAACCCUGGCCCCAGGAAUUUUACGUUCUCUGAGGGGAGACAGGAAAUAACAAAUAAGAUGUUGUCUUGCGCCCAGGGCAGCUGUGAGUAUGUGAAUGCCUCAUCAGUGACUGUGGACACCGCCCAAAUGGCAAUCAGCACAGAAACCUUAUAAAAUUACCAACAGAUUACUGCUUCUGUCUGCCAGCACUUUCAAUGCCAGCCAGCCUGGGGGCUUGUUUUGUUUUGGGUUUUUUUGGUUUUGUUUUUUUUUCUACUGGCAUACGUUGUGAUUUAGAGUGAGUCUUUGUGGACUGAAUGAAAAUAUAGGCUCACACCCAGUUAACAAGCUUUGACAAAUCAGAAGGCACAUACAUGGCAUAUGGGCAAGAAUGAAUAACAACCUAGAAAACUAGGGAUCUUCUUCUCCUUUCCCUUCCCUUCCCUUAGUAAUCCAGGACAAAUUUAAUAAAACUCUGUCUUACCCCUGUCAUACGCUCUAUGUUGUGAGGAAUACCACAGAAGUAAGUGACACUUCCUGUCCUUCAAGGGCAAAUAUAAGAAGGUUGAAUCACAAUGACUGUGGUUUGAAUCAUUUACCAGGAUAGAAAAAAAUUAAGCUGAAAGUGUCUAUUCACAUGUGCUUCUAUCUCUUUUGAUAUCCAGAGGAUGUGAGUGACAUAACAUCUGAGUUAGAUACAUUUCCCCCAAUGCAAAAGUGAUCGCCUUAUCUUAUUCUUGCUUGGGCUACACACUCUCCCAAUUCCCCCCAAUUCCUGCAGCUCUCCCUGAGUGACUUCUCUUUUCUAUAUUUUAUAGGAUCUCCGAAGAAUCCCUGCUUCUGUGAGACCACCUGAACCAUGACCCCAUAAAAUUAAAAUGGUGAGAUGGAAAACCAUGUAGAGCAUCACGAUACACCACGGCACCUGGCGGUUGAUUGGAGCUUUGUGCUGCCAAAGGGGUCCAGGCCUGGGCUUCUGCCAUGUGAUUCCCUGCCCACCUUCUACCCAGAGGGGACUGCUAAUUUUUUUAAAUAGGUUUGACACUGCUGCUAUCCAAACAGUUAUACACUAUUUUCUCUACUCUGUUCAAUCUUCUUCUUGUGGGUACAUUUUUCAAUUGUUUCCAAAAAAUUCAGUCCCCUGUGAAGCAUGAGUUUGUAAAGAUUUUGAUCAGGUUUGUUAUCUCUACUGAUUUUAACUGAACAAUGUGUCCUGAUAUAUUAUGUGAAUUAGCAGGUCAAAUUUUAUUUCAAUACUAUAGAGUUUGGAAAGAGCCCUAGAAGCCAAUAAGAAACCAAGCUUCUCAAGAACCUGGGCAGGUACUUUCACUUCUAUUUUCUUAUCUGUUACCAGGGUACCACUCUGGCCAUACAGGUCUGCAUCAUACAAUUCAAGGAGACCAUUCACAUCAUGACUGAGCAGCAAGACAGUCUGUCUAUAACAGGAGGAGGGGUGAGCAAAUAAACUGGUCUUUAAAAUCACUUUGAGCUAAAACUUAAUCAUUAUGACAAUGUGGUAUUCCAGCUUUUCUCUAGAUUUUCUUCAUGUUUGCUUUCUUUUUUCGGUACGCGGGCCUCUCACUGUUGUGGCCUCUCCUGUUGCGGAGCACAGGCUCCGG